GACGAACGCUGGCGGCGUGCUUAACACAUGCAAGUCGAACGGAAAGGCCCUGCUUGCAGGGUACUCGAGUGGCGAACGGGUGAGUAACACGUGGGUGAUCUGCCCUGCACUUCGGGAUAAGCCUGGGAAACUGGGUCUAAUACCGGAUAGGAGCCAUUUUUAGUGUGAUGGUUGGAAAGUUUUUUCGGUGUAGGAUGAGCUCGCGGCCUAUCAGCUUGUUGGUGGGGUAAUGGCCUACCAAGGCGGCGACGGGUAGCCGGCCUGAGAGGGUGGACGGCCACAUUGGGACUGGGAUACGGCCCAGACUCCUACGGGAGGCAGCAGUGGGGAAUAUUGCACAAUGGGCGCAAGCCUGAUGCAGCGACGCCGCGUGGGGGAUGACGGCCUUCGGGUUGGAAACUCCUUUCGCUAGGGACGAAGCUUUUUGUGACGGUACCUAGAUAAGAAGCACCGGCUAACUACGUG
Molecule: ribosomal RNA, 465 nt
Filed under: uncultured bacterium
Lineage: Bacteria
Description: partial 16S ribosomal RNA
Rfam family: Bacterial small subunit ribosomal RNA
Source: RNAcentral